AUUGAACGCUGGCGGCAGGCCUAACACAUGCAAGUCGAGCGCGAAAACACUUCGGUGUAAGUAGAGCGGCGGACGGGUGAGUAAUGCUUGGGAAUCUGCCCAGUAGUGGGGGAUAACGUGUGGAAACGCACGCUAAUACCGCAUACGUCCUACGGGAGAAAGCAGGGGAUCUUCGGACCUUGCGCUAUUGGAUGAGCCCAAGUCAGAUUAGCUAGUUGGUGAGGUAAUGGCUCACCAAGGCGACGAUCUGUAGCUGGUCUGAGAGGAUGAUCAGCCACACUGGGACUGAGACACGGCCCAGACUCCUACGGGAGGCAGCAGUGGGGAAUAUUGCACAAUGGGCGAAAGCCUGAUGCAGCCAUGCCGCGUGUGUGAAGAAGGCUCUAGGGUUGUAAAGCACUUUCAGUGGGGAGGAAAAGUUUAAGAAUAAUACUCUUGAACCUUGACGUUACCUGCAGAAGAAGCACCGGCAAACUCCGUGCCAGCAGCCGCGGUAAUACGGAGGGUGCGAGCGUUAAUCGGAAUUACUGGGCGUAAAGCGCGCGUAGGUGGUUUGAUAAGCUAGCUGUGAAAGCCCCGGGCUCAACCUGGGAACUGCAGUUAGAACUGUCUGGCUAGAGUAUAGUAGAGGGUGGCGGAAUUUCCUGUGUAGCGGUGAAAUGCGUAGAUAUAGGAAGGAACAUCAGUGGCGAAGGCAGACACCUGGAAGAAUAACCGUCU
Molecule: ribosomal RNA, 720 nt
Filed under: bacterium IMCC8439
Lineage: Bacteria
Description: bacterial SSU rRNA
Rfam family: Bacterial small subunit ribosomal RNA
Source: RNAcentral